RNAcentral lists this ribosomal RNA (429 nucleotides) under Pseudomonadota bacterium. RNAcentral's name for it is "Proteobacteria bacterium partial 16S ribosomal RNA". It matches the Rfam family "Bacterial small subunit ribosomal RNA", at positions 355 to 776 of the family's 1533-position model. Lineage: Bacteria; Pseudomonadati; Pseudomonadota. The record is from RNAcentral.
UGGGGAAUAUUGGACACUGGGCGAAAGCCUGAUCCAGCCAUGCCGCGUGUGUGAAGAAGGUCUUCGGAUUGUAAAGCACUUUAAGCUGGGCGGAAGGGCAGUAAGCGAAUACCUUGCUGUUUUGACGUUACCGACAGAAUAAGCACCGGCUAACUCUGUGCCAGCAGCCGCGGUAAUACAGAGGGUGCAAGCGUUAAUCGGAAUUACUGGGCGUAAAGCGCGCGUAGGUGGUUCGUUAAGUUGAAUGUGAAAGCCCCGGGCUCAACCUGGGAACUGCAUCCAAAACUGGAGAGCUAGAGUAGGGCAGACGGUGGUGGAAUUUCCUGUGUAGCGGUGAAAUGCGUAGAUAUAGGAAGGAACACCAGUGGCGAAGGCGACCACCUGGGCUCAUACUGACACUGAGGUGCGAAAGCGUGGGGAGCAAACAGG